This 1334-nucleotide ribosomal RNA is filed under the name Pan troglodytes (chimpanzee). RNAcentral describes it as "Bacterial large subunit ribosomal RNA". It matches the Rfam family "Bacterial large subunit ribosomal RNA", at positions 532 to 2666 of the family's 2925-position model. Lineage: Eukaryota; Metazoa; Chordata; Mammalia; Primates; Hominidae. The record is from Rfam by way of RNAcentral.
AAGGGAAAGAUGAAAGAACUAUAUCAAGCACUAAAAAGCAAGGACAAGCCCUUAUACUUUCUGCAUAAUGUAUUAACUAGAAAUACUUUACACAGAAAACUAUAGCCAAGUCCCCCAAAACCAGAUGAGCUACACAAGAAUAGCUGAAAGAGCACACUCACCUACAUGGCAAAAUAGUGGGAAGAUUCAUGAGUAGUGGUGACAAGUCUACCAAGCCUGGUGAUAGCUGGUUGUCCAAGAUAGAAUCUUAGUUCAACUUUAAACUUACCCACAGAAUUACUUAAUUUCCCAGUAAGUUUAACUGUCAGUCUAAAGAGGGACAGCUCUUUAGACCCUAGGAAGCAACCUUCCUACAGAGAGUAAAAAAUAUUACCACCAUAGUUGGCCCAAAAGCAACCACCAGUUAAGAAAGCAUUUAAGCUCAACAUCUAACUAUCUUAAAUUCUAAUCACUCUACUGUACUCCUAACAUCACAUUGGACUAAUCUAUUACUUAAUAGAAGCAAUAAUGUUAAUAUAAGUAACAUGAAGACAUUCUCCAUUGCAUAAGCUUACAUCAGACCAGAAUAACCCACUGGCAGUUAACAGCCUAAUAUUAAUAAACGAUAUAAUAAGUACCCUAUUAUUUACACUGUUAACUCAACAAAGGCAUGCUCUAAGGAAAGUUUACAACAAGUAAAAGGAACUCAGCAAAUCUUACCCUGCCUGUUUACCAAAAACAUCACCUCUAGCAUUACCAGUAUUAGAGGCACUGCCUGCCCAGUGACAUAUGUUCAACUGCCACGGUAUCCUGACCAUGCAAAGGUAGCAUAAUCACUUGUUCCCUAAAUAGGGACUUGUACGAAUUGCUACACGAGGGUUCAGCUGUCUCUUACUUUUAAUCAGUGAAAUUGACCUAUCAGUGAAGAGGUGGAUAUAAAAAAAAUAAGACGAGAAGACCCUAUGGAGCUUUAAUUCAUUAAUACAAAUAAAAACUCAAACAAGCCAACAGGCCCUAGCCUACUAUCCCUGCAUUAAAAAUGUUGUUUGGGGUGACCCCGGAGCAUAAUUCAACCUCUGAACGAUGUAAACUAAGACCGCACUAGUCUAAGCGAGUUAACAUACGUUGACUCAAUUAAUUUGAUGAGCGGAAUAAGUUAUCCUAGGGAUAACAGCACAAUCCUAUUCUACAGUCCAUGUCAACAAUAGUGUUUAUGACCUCAAUGUUGGAUCAGGACAUCCUAAUGGUGCAGCUGCUAUUAAGGGUUUGUUUCUUCAGUGAUUAAAGUCCUACCUGAUCUGAGGUCAGACUGGAGUAAUCCAGGUUGGUUUCUAACUAUUUAACAUUUCUCCUAG